RNAcentral lists this ribosomal RNA (497 nucleotides) under uncultured bacterium. RNAcentral's name for it is "partial 16S ribosomal RNA". It matches the Rfam family "Bacterial small subunit ribosomal RNA", at positions 28 to 507 of the family's 1533-position model. The record is from RNAcentral.
GAUGAACGCUGGCGGCGUGCCUAAUACAUGCAAGUCGAGCGAACAGACGAGGAGCUUGCUCCUCUGACGUUAGCGGCGGACGGGUGAGUAACACGUGGAUAACCUACCUAUAAGACUGGGAUAACUUCGGGAAACCGGAGCUAAUACCGGAUAAUAUAUUGAACCGCAUGGUUCAAUAGUGAAAGACGGUUUUGCUGUCACUUAUAGAUGGAUCCGCGCCGCAUUAGCUAGUUGGUAAGGUAACGGCUUACCAAGGCAACGAUGCGUAGCCGACCUGAGAGGGUGAUCGGCCACACUGGAACUGAGACACGGUCCAGACUCCUACGGGAGGCAGCAGUAGGGAAUCUUCCGCAAAGGGCGAAAGCUUGACGGAGCAACGCCGCGUGAGUGAUGAAGGUCUUCGGAUCGUAAAACUCUGUUAUUAGGGAAGAACAAAUGUGUAAGUAACUAUGCACGUCUUGACGGUACCUAAUCAGAAAGUCACGGCUAACUACGUG